UACGUAGGGUGCGAGCGUUAAUCGGAUUUACUGGGCGUAAAGCGUGCGCAGGCGGUUCUGUAAGACCGGUGUGAAAUCCCCGGGCUCAACCUGAGAAUUGCGCUGGUGACUGCAGGGCUAGAGUACGGUAGAGGGGGGUGGAAUUCCUGGUGUAGCAGUGAAAUGCGUAGAGAUCAGGAGGAACACCGAUGGCGAAGGCAGCCCCCUGGGCCUGUACUGACGCUCAUGCACGAAAGCGUGGGGAGCAAACAGG
Molecule: ribosomal RNA, 253 nt
Filed under: uncultured microorganism
Description: partial 16S ribosomal RNA
Rfam family: Bacterial small subunit ribosomal RNA
Source: RNAcentral